RNAcentral lists this transfer RNA (93 nucleotides) under Amylostereum chailletii. RNAcentral describes it as "tRNA-Ser". It matches the Rfam family "tRNA". From Rfam's summary of the family: Transfer RNA (tRNA) molecules are approximately 80 nucleotides in length. Their secondary structure includes four short double-helical elements and three loops (D, anti-codon, and T loops). The record is from RNAcentral. Lineage: Eukaryota; Fungi; Basidiomycota; Agaricomycetes; Russulales; Stereaceae.
GUCACUUUGCCGGAGUGGUUAACGGGAUCGCCUGCUACUUAUCAGCGAAGCGGUUGGGCUUUGCCCGCGAGUGUUCGAAUCGCUCAGGUGACG